CCUACGGGUGGCAGCAGUGAGGAAUAUUGGUCAAUGGGCGCGAGCCUGAACCAGCCAAGUCGCGUGAAGGAAGACGGCCCUAUGGAUUGUAAACCUCUUUUGUCGGGGAGCAAAAGACGCCACGCGUGGCGUUUCGGGAGUAACCGAAGAAAAAGCAUCGGCUAACUCCGUGCCAGCAGCCGCGGUAAUACGGAGGAUCCGAGCGUUAUCCGGAUUUAUUGGGUUUAAAGGGUGCGCAGGCGGAAGAUGAAGUCAGCGGUAAAAUUGGGGGGCUCAACCCCUUCGAGACGUUGAAACUGGUUUUCUUGAGUGUGCGAGAGGGAUGCGGAAUGCGUGGUGUAGCGGUGAAAUGCAUAGAUAUCACGCAGAACUCCGAUUGCGAAGGCAGCAUACCGGCGCUCAACUGACGCUCAUGCACGAAAGUGUGGGUAUCGAACAGGAUUAGAUACCCGAGUAGUC
RNAcentral lists this ribosomal RNA (459 nucleotides) under uncultured bacterium. Its description in RNAcentral is "partial 16S ribosomal RNA". It matches the Rfam family "Bacterial small subunit ribosomal RNA", at positions 338 to 795 of the family's 1533-position model. The record is from RNAcentral.